This 1491-nucleotide ribosomal RNA is filed under the name uncultured prokaryote. RNAcentral's name for it is "partial 16S ribosomal RNA". It matches the Rfam family "Bacterial small subunit ribosomal RNA". The record is from RNAcentral.
AGAGUUUGAUCAUGGCUCAGAUUGAACGCUGGCGGUAUGCUUAACACAUGCAAGUUCGGACGGGGCAGCAAUGCCUAGCUGGCGGACGGGUGAGUAACGCGUAGGAAUCUGCCCGGUAAGUGGGGGAUAACAUGUGGAAACUUAAGCUAAUACCGCAUACGCCCUACGGGGGAAAGCAGGGGAUCUUCGGACCUUGCGCUAUUAGAUGAGCCUGCGUCGGAUUAGCUAGUUGGUAGGGUAAAGGCCUACCAAGGCAACGAUCCGUAGCUGGUUUGAGAGGACGAUCAGCCACACUGGGACUGAGACACGGCCUAGACUCCUACGGGAGGCAGCAGUGGGGAAUAUUGGACAAUGGGCGCAAGCCUGAUCCAGCAAUACCGCGUGUGUGAAGAAGGCCUUAGGGUUGUAAAGCACUUUCAGUAGGGAGGAACAGGAUAGGUUAAUAACCUUGAGUCUUGACGUUAACUGCACAAGAAGCACCGGCUAACUCCGUGCCAGCAGCCGCGGUAAUACGGGGGGUGCAAGCGUUAAUCGGAUUUACUGGGCGUAAAGCGCGCGUAGGUGGUUUAGCAAGUUGGAUGUGAAAGUCCCGGGCUCAACCUGGGAAUUGCAUCCCAACUGCUAAGACUAGAGUGUAGUAGAGGGAAGUGGAAUUCCGGGUGUAGCGGUGAAAUGCGUAGAUAUCCGGAGGAACACCAGUGGCGAAGGCGGCUUCCUGGACUAACACUGACGCUGAGGUGCGAAAGCGGGGGGAGCAAACAGGAUUAGAUCCCCUGGUAGUCCACGCCGUAAACGAUGUCAACUAGCCGUUGGGAGGAUUGCCGGUUUUAGUGGCGAAGCUAACGCGAUAAGUUCUCCGCCUGGGGAGUACGGCCGCAAGGUUAAAACUCAAAUGAAUUGACGGGGGCCCGCACAAGCGGUGGAGCAUGUUGUUUAAUUCGAUGCAACGCGAAAAACCUUAUCUACUCUUGACAUCCCGUGAACUUUCCAGAGAUGGUUUAGUGCCUUCGGGAACUCUGAGACAGGUGCUGCAUGGCUGUCGUCAGCUCGUGUUGUGAGAUGUUGGGUUAAGUCCCGCAACGAGCGCAACCCCUAUCCUUAUUUGCUAACACUUCGGGUGGGCACUCUAAGGAGACUGCCGGUGAUAAACCGGAGGAAGGUGGGGACGACGUCAAGUCCUCAUGGCCCUUAUGGGCUGGGCUACACACGUGCUACAAUGGCCGGUACAGAGGGCUGCGAACUCGCGAGAGUAAGCCAAUCCCUUAAAGCCGGUCCUAGUCCGGAUUGCAGUCUGCAACUCGACUGCAUGAAGCUGGAAUCGCUAAUAAUCGCGGAUCAGAAUGCCGCGGUGAAUUCGUUCCCGGGCCUUGUACACACCGCCCGUCACACCAUGGGAGUGGGUUGCAAAAGAAGUGGGUAGGCUAACCUUCGGGAGGCCGCUCACCACUUUGUGAUUCAUGACUGGGGUGAAGUCGUAACAAGGUAGCCCUA